GGGACACGUGGUAUCCUGUCUGAAUAUGGGGGGACCAUCCUCCAAGGCUAAAUACUCCUGACUGACCGAUAGUGAACCAGUACCGUGAGGGAAAGGCGAAAAGAACCCCGGCGAGGGGAGUGAAAAAGAACCUGAAACCGUGUACGUACAAGCAGUGGGAGCACGCUUAGGCGUGUGACUGCGUACCUUUUGUAUAAUGGGUCAGCGACUUAUAUUCUGUAGCAAGGUUAACCGAAUAGGGGAGCCGAAGGGAAACCGAGUCUUAACUGGGCGUUAAGUUGCAGGGUAUAGACCCGAAACCCGGUGAUCUAGCCAUGGGCAGGUUGAAGGUUGGGUAACACUAACUGGAGGACCGAACCGACUAAUGUUGAAAAAUUAGCGGAUGACUUGUGGCUGGGGGUGAAAGGCCAAUCAAACCGGGAGAUAGCUGGUUCUCCCCGAAAGCUAUUUAGGUAGCGCCUCGUGAAUUCAUCUCCGGGGGUAGAGCACUGUUUCGGCAAGGGGGUCAUCCCGACUUACCAACCCGAUGCAAACUGCGAAUACCGGAGAAUGUUAUCACGGGAGACACACGGCGGGUGCUAACGUCCGUCGUGAAGAGGGAAACAACCCAGACCGCCAGCUAAGGUCCCAAAGUCAUGGUUAAGUGGGAAACGAUGUGGGAAGGCCCAGACAGCCAGGAUGUUGGCUUAGAAGCAGCCAUCAUUUAAAGAAAGCGUAAUAGCUCACUGGUCGAGUCGGCCUGCGCGGAAGAUGUAACGGGGCUAAACCAUGCACCGAAGCUGCGGCAGCGACACUAUGUGUUGUUGGGUAGGGGAGCGUUCUGUAAGCCUGUGAAGGUGUACUGUGAGG
This 849-nucleotide ribosomal RNA is filed under the name Escherichia coli. RNAcentral's name for it is "partial 23S ribosomal RNA". It matches the Rfam family "Bacterial large subunit ribosomal RNA", at positions 419 to 1268 of the family's 2925-position model. Lineage: Bacteria; Pseudomonadati; Pseudomonadota; Gammaproteobacteria; Enterobacterales; Enterobacteriaceae. The record is from RNAcentral.